Molecule: small RNA, 1381 nt
Filed under: Pan troglodytes (chimpanzee)
Lineage: Eukaryota; Metazoa; Chordata; Mammalia; Primates; Hominidae
Description: retained intron
Source: RNAcentral
GUUUUUUGUUUUUAAUUAAAAAAAAUUUUUUUUAGCUGAUUGUGUUGGGUUGAGGUUGCUUUCUGGGGAAGAAAAGGUGUAGGAGUUGAGACAUCUGGAGAUAGCAGGAAUGGCUGAGUUUUUCUUUUGUGUCUCCUUUAAGAAAACAUCCUACUAAAGCCCUGGGAAAAGAGACAAAUGGUGAAGAGGAGAAUGAAAGGUUGCAGGAGGGAGCUCCUGUUUUAGCCCUGCCACCUACCUGGGGGCCCUCUGGCUACCAGUGUCCUUGGAGGGGCUUCCUUGCUGCCUCUCCCACUAAGGUAGAUUUUCCCCACCCUGCUUAAGGCUCCACAGGGCCAAGGGUCUUCAGCUGUCAAGACCCGGGUUCUGAGUAGCAUAGGGCAAGAAAGCACAGAAGUAUAGAUUGGGCCCUAUAGGACCGUUUGUGCUUACAGUGGCAGGGGGCAGGACUGGUAUCCAUGCUGUGGCUGGCUGGAGACUUGGCACUGCUCCCAGACAACUCCCACCCAAGCUCUUUAGCUGCCUCUAUUUCCCUUCAGCAUGAGCAUUUGGGGAAUGAUGGUGACUGGUGACACCUCUGCCCUGAGAACCCUGCCACAGAACCUACUUCUUUCCCUCUCCUGCCCUGGCCUCCCCACUCACCACCUUUCUGCUGUGUCCCUAGGAGCUCUGGAGCCUUAGGACCAUGGACGCUCUCAAUAGGAACCAAAUAGGCCCUGGAUGCAAGACCCAGACCAUGGUGCAGAAAGGACCCUUGGACCUGAUCGAGACAGGCAAAGGGCUGAAAGUGCAAACGGACAAACCCCACCUGGUGAGCCUGGGCAGUGGGCGACUCAGCACAGCCAUCACCCUCCUGCCGCUGGAGGAAGGUAAGUGUGAACAGGGCAUUUCACUCACCACCCCUCUAUCCUUAUAGGCAUUCCUGCCCUGGAGGCCCAGCUCCUGCAUGUGUUGGGGCCCUUCUACUGUCUGCUGGUGCUCGCCUCCCCACACCACCAGCUUGCUUCCCUUGUCGCUGCCUCCCCAGACUGCCUGCCUUCCUUGGUAGAUGAUCUGGUUCCACGACUGGGCUUAAAGAUCAGCUUAGAAACAAGGAGGAGAGGCCAGGUGCGGUGGCUCACGCCUGUUAUCCCAGCACUUUUGGAGGCUGAGGCAGGCGGAUCACGAGGUCAGGAGUUCUAGACCAGCCUGGCCAAUAUGGUGAAACCCCAUCUCCACUAAAAAUACAAAAAUUAGCCAGGCGUGGUGGCACGGGCCUGUAGUCCCAGCUACUCAGGAGGCUGAGGCAGAAGAAUCGCUUGAACCCAGGAGACAGAGGUUGCAGUGAGCCGAGAUCGUGCCACUGCACUCCAGCCUGGGCAACAGAGCGAGACUCUAUCUC